This is a long non-coding RNA of Anas platyrhynchos (mallard), 3738 nucleotides long. RefSeq lists it as uncharacterized. NCBI's taxonomy places the organism in Eukaryota, Metazoa, Chordata, Aves, Anseriformes, Anatidae. The record is from RefSeq and is a predicted model, not a curated record.
UUCUGCAGUAGUGUAAGGAGAGAAAAAAAGGGGUAAAUAGCUCUUACGUGGAAUGGAAGAAUACCAACAGCUCCCCCCAUUUUUGGGGGGUGGCCUACUUGUGGGGGCUGGCCAGGGGCAGACCCAGGUGUGCUAUCUGCACCUGUGAAGCUUUGUUGAGGAGAAGGUGGCAAUGCAGAUAAGGUGCAGCUGUGAAAAAAAAAAAGAGAAAUGCAGGCUGCAGGGCCUCAGGGAGGAACCCGUGAGUGUUUGGUGUGUAAGAUGUGGUUCUGGUCUUCUGCUUUCUGAGAAACUUCUGUGGGAGAGGGUGAGUUCCUUCUCAGGUGUGUUUCUCACCCUGAUCCACAGGCCUUGAGGACUAAAAGGAGCGAGGAGUUAUUUUUCCAAAUGCUGUCAUUUGCUCCCAACUGUCUUCCAGCAGGAGCCUUGUUUGAUGUGCUGAUGGCGAGGCAUCUUCCUCACAGCCUGUUGCCUGGUGUGCUGCACUUAUCUCACCGCUUUCCCAGACUCUCACGCCCUUUGCUUUCUUCUGCCUUACGACCAUUUUUCCUCCUCCCAACUUUUUUUUUACUUAAAAAAAAAAAAAAAAAAAAUCCCCAUUCCGUUGCAUCUCCUGUGGCUUUCCCCUACUUCCCAGUGGCUCCCUGUGUUUGAGUGUUUGCCAAGGGCAGGACAUCAGUGGGGCUGGCGAGCACAUGUUUUUGCAGCUGCUGCAUGAGCCCAGAAUCCACAUUUUGGGUGGAGAAGCUGCUGUUUGCUUGCCACUGUGUGUGUAUUCAUGAGCUACCACCUUGAUAGGUCCCCUGUGAGAGCUGAGGUAGAACGGGAAAAGGAUUUAGAAGUGGUGAGCUCCUCAUCCAUAGUUGAGGGAUUAUGCCCACAGGGGUGGGUUAGAUACACAGCUCUCCAGCACUACAGCUUUUAUUUCCCUGGUAUCUAACAGUGCCAUGUUCCAGUAGGACUUCAAUCAGUGAAUGCACAAGGGAGGCUUCGUGUUUCCAGGCUUCUGCUUCCCUGGAAAUGGAGCUGGUGGUGGGUUCGUGGUUAGAGUACAGUUUAUCUGUCAUUGUUUUUGCAGUUUGCUGCCCUAGCAUGUCUGAAAGCUUUGGCAAGUGUUAUGCCUGGUUUAGCUGGCUGGUUUCUAACACCUCCUAAGACAAGGAGAAGCCCUCUAGCCAAGUGGAGGCAGCAUGCGGGGUUGGGGGGAGUGAAAUUCAAUUAACAGAUUUGAGACUUGAGCCCACGGAAACCCGGUGUAGUGCUGCUAUACCAGUGAGCUGCUAUUAAAAUCACGCAGUUCAAAAAUCUUCAAAUACAGUGACCGUGAAUUGUGCUGAAGUUGGAUAAAGUUUUUUCUUGCUGACCUGAUCUGCAGCUUUAUAGUCCAUGUUUUGCAAGGGCUCCAUGGGAAACUCUUGUGGUGCUGCUGAACAAUAAGCUCUGCGAUUUUUCUGUCUCCUGGUAGAUCUGGGUGUAUGAAGACAGUGACGCGGCUGGCUGAUGUCUGCUACAGAAACAGCAGGGUUCCAGGUGGCAGCUGGCUGCUGGGGGGGGGCUUGGGAAGAUGGUAUCAGUGAACAGCUGCCCCAAAAGGGAGCCUGGGGAAGUAUUUGCAGAGGGUUUCAGGUUUGGAUUCCUUUCAGCCUUGUUCUGCACAGCCCUACUGUGAUUUGUUGUCCUAACUUGACUCCAAAUUAAAACACUGCCAUCUCAGAGUGAUCUACUAUCUGGAGCAUGAAGUAUAUCAUCUCUGACUCAAAUACAGUGUGAGCAGCAAACCCAGCGGCUUUUGGUGUGGUUUUCUUUUCACUUGGCAUAAAUGAUUUCUCAAUACAUUGAGAGAUGCAGCUGCUUAAAACUUCCAAAAUUUUGAGAUACGUUUUCGAUGAAAUGACACUUGUUAUCUUACUCUUUUCUGUUGCUGCAGGCAUUAUUUAAAACUAAAUCUGACUGUAGGUACUAGGAGCUAUAUAUACUUAAUUUCUAUUUUCGUGACACUCCACUAAAAUCAAAUUCAGUAUGAUUUGUAAUCACUUAACCGUGCCUCAUUCAGUCAUGGUUUCUAUCAUGUUUUUCAGCCAAGACUUCUGUUCAUGGUAAUAGGGACAAGGUAAUUUUGCAUCCUAAGGGACUGUAGUACUAUGGAGUUUAUAGUUUCUGGUCCUCCCUUCCUCUUUCAUGGUCUUUAUUCUGGAAUGCAAGUUGGCUGGGUCAUAACAGCAGUGUUGAGUCAGAAGACUUUGCAGUUCAUUAAAUAGGACAGUUUUCUCUUAAUCCUUUUCACAAAAAUGUGAUUCAUUGUGUGAUUGACUCAUUUGUUGGCUGUUGAGAGAAUGCUUUUUCCAGUUUUGGUUAAACACGUCACCUUGCCUCAUGAUAAAUUAGAGUAGCCUUAACAUCACAUGUUGAUGUGUGUUUUGUUUUUUUUUCUAUUUUGCUGUUGUACUCCAUCUCUUGGUCACUUGAAAUAGAAUUGCUGGGGAAAGCACAAACGUCAUGUUUGUGCAAUGAACACCAGAUCUGGUGGCCUACGUCGGUAAAGGUUGAAAUUGUGACACCGAGUUAACCAGCUCAUCAUUUCUGCACGUGGACUGCUACCGUGCGGGGGCAGAGGGGAAUGUUAGUGUGUGGCCAUUACAAGCGCAAGGUUAAAUCCAGCUCUGUGCCCGCUCAGACCUGUGUGCUCAUCCACCUGCAGCAGUGCAGCUGGAAAAUGCAGCCACGCCAUGGCGAAGUGAGGAUGGCUUUGUACCGUAGGCCAGCGAGCAUCAGCUUGAAUGCAAGCUCGUGUCAAAGAAGCCAGGGCUUUUUUUUUUUUGGGGGGGGGGAAGUGAAGAUUUGUUUUUCUUGCUAACACAUUCCUUCCACAAACCACCCUAAGCCUAUGCAUCUGCAGGGCUAGAAUUCAGUUUUACUUUCGUUUAACAAGCAUACAAAAAAGUGAUCAGUGUGUUUCCUAGGUAAUAGAAGUAGUAACAAUUUUGAAUAUGCAGCUGUGCCUUCCAUGUACUUCUGCUCACACUCUCACAUACAAAAGAUAAGGGAAGAAAUCAAUGCAAAACCGUUCCAGUAACUAAAUAGAUCCCUAUUAGUUUUCAGGCAAUUGAUUUUUAGUAGGCAUUGUGCAUGUUAGCUGUUCUUUUUUGCUGUGAGUGAGGUGGGAUUUCCAAUUAGAUUUUUAACUGUCAAUGAUUUACUAAGCGCAUUAUGUUAUUGAUUGUUCCACAGAAGGAACAGUUGCAAAAAUAAUAAUAAAAAAACCUGUGCAAGUGAAGGCUGAAUUUUUUCAGUUACACUGUAGUUACAGAUGACUCUAAUAUGUUGAUUUUUCUCCAGUGCCAUUUCUUUUUCAUGAUUAGGUUUGAGUUUCUUGAGAAAUUUAUACUAUAAUCAGAUUGGCUUCUUGGAAAAUUCUGCUGUAUCAUUUUAGCGAUGCAGAGAGUCCGUGUAAAGAGCAGAAUAAUAACGGCUUCAACUUUCAUAUUUGAAUUUCACUGCUUUUGAGGUAGUAGCAUCAGUCAUGAUUAGAUUUGGUCAAAUAAACUCAAAGCUACUGUGUAAGAGCGAUCUGUGAUGCUUAGUGUAAUGCAAGAGAUUAAUCCAUUUUCUCACUGUAGGGCACAGCUACCAACUCUUUCCUUUUAAGAACUCUAUUUUCUUUUUAAUGAUAUAUUAUGAAUAAUAAUUUGUAUUCAUAUCUUACCUGCUAAGCGAUUUUGAGUUUCAGUGAAUGAAACU